UACAGAGGGCUCAAGCGUUGUUCGGAUUCACUGGGCGUAAAGGGUUCGUAGGCGGCGCGGUAAGUCGGGUGUGAAAUCUCGGGGCUUAACUCCGAAACUGCAUUCGAUACUACCGUGCUUGAGGACUGGAGAGGAGACUGGAAUUUACGGUGUAGCGGUGAAAUGCGUAGAUAUCGUAAGGAAGACCAGUGGCGAAGGCGGGUCUCUGGACAGUUCCUGACGCUGAGGCACGAAGGCCAGGGGAGCAAACGGG
RNAcentral lists this ribosomal RNA (253 nucleotides) under uncultured bacterium. RNAcentral describes it as "partial 16S ribosomal RNA". It matches the Rfam family "Bacterial small subunit ribosomal RNA", at positions 524 to 776 of the family's 1533-position model. The record is from RNAcentral.